RNAcentral lists this ribosomal RNA (253 nucleotides) under uncultured bacterium. RNAcentral's name for it is "partial 16S ribosomal RNA". It matches the Rfam family "Bacterial small subunit ribosomal RNA", at positions 524 to 776 of the family's 1533-position model. The record is from RNAcentral.
UACGAAGGGGGCUAGCGUUGCUCGGAAUUACUGGGCGUAAAGCGUACGUAGGCGGCUUUCUAAGUCGGGGGUGAAAUCCUGGAGCUCAACUCCAGAACUGCCUUCGAUACUGGAAAGCUCGAGUCCGGGAGAGGUGAGUGGAACUGCGAGUGUAGAGGUGAAAUUCGUAGAUAUUCGCAAGAACACCAGUGGCGAAGGCGGCUCACUGGCCCGAUACUGACGCUGAGGCACGAAAGCGUGGGGAGCAAACAGG